RNAcentral lists this ribosomal RNA (396 nucleotides) under uncultured bacterium. RNAcentral's name for it is "partial 16S ribosomal RNA". It matches the Rfam family "Bacterial small subunit ribosomal RNA", at positions 338 to 731 of the family's 1533-position model. The record is from RNAcentral.
CCUACGGGUGGCAGCAGUGAGGAAUAUUGGUCAAUGGGCGCGAGCCUGAACCAGCCAAGUAGCGUGAAGGAUGACUGCCCUACGGGUUGUAAACUUCUUUUAUAAAGGAAUAAAGUGCGGCACGUGUGCCUUUUUGUAUGUACCUUAUGAAUAAGCAUCGGCUAACUCCGUGCCAGCAGCCGCGGUAAUACGGAGGAUCCGAGCGUUAUCCGGAUUUAUUGGGUUUAAAGGGAGCGUAGGGGGGAUGUUAAGUCAGGUGGGAAAUUUUGGGGCUCAACCGUAGUAGUGCAGUUGAUACUGGCGGUCUUGAGUGCGGUAGAGGUAGGCGGAAUGCGUGGUGUAGCGGUGAAAUGCUUAGAUAUCACGAAGAACUCCGAUUGCGAAGGCAGCUUACUG